CCCAGUGUGCCGCGGUACUCUGACCGUGCAAGGUAGCAUAAUCAUUUGCCUUAUAAUUGAAGGCUGGAAUGAAUGGUUUGACAAGAAUACAUCUGUCUCUUCAUGGUUAUUUAGAAUUUUAUUUUUAGAUGAAAAAGUCUAGAUGUUAUUAAAAGACAAGAAGACCCUAUCGAGCUUCAGAAAAAUUAACAGGAAUAUUAGAACUCUAUAUCAGUAAAAGAAAGGCUGUUAAAUACUUUGGUUGGGGCAACCUAGGAGUAAGUAAAGCCUCCUAAUUAUAAUAAGUCGGACCUGUGUUGAUCCAAUAAUAAUGAUCAAAGGAAUUAGUUACCGUAGGGAUAACAGCAUUAUCUUUUUCAAGAGCCCAUAUCGAAAAAAAGGUUUGUACCUCGAUGUUGGACCAAAUAUCCUAAAAUGCAAAUUCUUUAA
Molecule: ribosomal RNA, 429 nt
Filed under: Conus miles
Lineage: Eukaryota; Metazoa; Mollusca; Gastropoda; Neogastropoda; Conidae
Description: partial 16S ribosomal RNA
Rfam family: Bacterial large subunit ribosomal RNA
Source: RNAcentral